Molecule: ribosomal RNA, 481 nt
Filed under: uncultured bacterium
Lineage: Bacteria
Description: partial 16S ribosomal RNA
Rfam family: Bacterial small subunit ribosomal RNA
Source: RNAcentral
GGUGAACGCUGGCGGCGUGCCUAACACAUGCAAGUCGAGCGAAGCACUUACUUUAGAUUUCUUCGGAAUGACGAAGUUUGUGACUGAUCGGCGGACGGGUGCGUAACGCGUGGGCAACCUGCCCUGUACAGGGGGAUAACAGUUCGAAAUGACUGCUAAUCCCGCAUAAGCCCCCAGCUUCGCAUGAAGCAGUGGGAAAACCUCCGGUGGUACAGGAUGGGCCCGCGUCUGAUUAGCUCGUUGGUAAGGUAACGGCUUACCAAGGCGACGACCAGUAGCCGAGCAGAGAGGGUGACCGGCCACAUCGGGACUGAGACACGGCCCAAAAUCCUACGGGAGGGUGCAGUGGGGAAUAUUGCACAAUGGGGGAAACCCAGAUGCAGCGAGGCCGGGUGAGCGAUGAAGUAUUUCGGUAUGUAAAGCUCUAUCAGCAGGGAAGAAAGUGACGGUACCGGACUAAGAAGCACCGGCUAACUACGUG